UGGGGAAUAUUGCACAAUGGGCGGAAGCCUGAUGCAGCAACGCCGCGUGAGGGACGACGGCCUUCGGGUUGUAAACCUCUUUUAGCAGGGAAGAAGCGAAAGUGACGGUACCUGCAGAAAAAGCGCCGGCUAACUACGUGCCAGCAGCCGCGGUAAUACGUAGGGCGCAAGCGUUAUCCGGAAUUAUUGGGCGUAAAGAGCUCGUAGGCGGUCUGUCGCGUCUGCUGUGAAAACCCGAGGCUCAACCUCGGGCCUGCAGUGGGUACGGGCAGACUAGAGUGCGGUAGGGGAGAUUGGAAUUCCUGGUGUAGCGGUGGAAUGCGCAGAUAUCAGGAGGAACACCGAUGGCGAAGGCAGAUCUCUGGGCCGUAACUGACGCUGAGGAGCGAAAGGGUGGGGAGCAAACA
This 407-nucleotide ribosomal RNA is filed under the name uncultured Microbacterium sp. RNAcentral describes it as "bacterial SSU rRNA". It matches the Rfam family "Bacterial small subunit ribosomal RNA", at positions 355 to 774 of the family's 1533-position model. Lineage: Bacteria; Bacillati; Actinomycetota; Actinomycetes; Micrococcales; Microbacteriaceae. The record is from RNAcentral.